Molecule: transfer RNA, 73 nt
Filed under: Stegodyphus mimosarum
Lineage: Eukaryota; Metazoa; Arthropoda; Arachnida; Araneae; Eresidae
Rfam family: tRNA
About the family: Transfer RNA (tRNA) molecules are approximately 80 nucleotides in length. Their secondary structure includes four short double-helical elements and three loops (D, anti-codon, and T loops).
Source: Rfam by way of RNAcentral
GCCUUCGUGAUGUAAUGGUCAGCACACUGAGCCGGUAUUUCAGAGGUCCGCGGUUCGAUUCCCGGCGAAGGCC